ACGAUUCUCAUAUGUUCUCAUCUCAUGAUAAGUAAAAGAUUUCAAGUUCAGGAGUGGAUAUGCAACCAACAGAAACACUUUUGGCUUCUUCUUCUUCUUCUUGUAAUAUUAUUUUUGAUAAGGAAUUUAGAGACCUUGUUUUUUGGUACAUGUGUACUUGUUUUAUAUAUGUUGAAGUUGGAAAAUAUGCUUGUAAAUAUUUUGAUACAUUUACAAAUUUGCGUAUUAAUUAACUAUGUAGACAUUAGUUCUUUAUCAUGAUAUUAUUCCCAAAUUUAUUCAA
Long non-coding RNA from Vitis vinifera (wine grape), 283 nucleotides. RefSeq lists it as uncharacterized. The record is from RefSeq and is a predicted model, not a curated record. Lineage: Eukaryota; Viridiplantae; Streptophyta; Magnoliopsida; Vitales; Vitaceae. The transcript is spliced from 2 exons.